UAAUACGUAGGGUGCAAACGUUGUUCGGAAUCACUGGGCAUAAAGAGCGCGUAGGCGGUCUGAUAAGUCCUGUGUGAAAGCCCCCGGCUCAACCGGGGAAUUGCACAGGAUACUGUCGGGCUAGAGUACAGGAGGGGAGAGCGGAAUUCCUGGUGGAGCGGUGAAAUGCGUAGAUAUCAGGAGGAACGCCAGUGGCGAAAGCGGCUCUCUGGUCUGUUACUGACGCUGAGGUGCGAAAGCUAGGGGAGCAAACGGGAUUAGAUACCCCGGUAGUCCUAGCCCUAAACGAUGGGUACUAAGUAGAGGGAACUCCGAUGUUUUCUCUGCCGGAGCUAAUGUAUUAAGUACCCCGCCUGGGGAGUAUGGUCGCAAGGCUA
This 377-nucleotide ribosomal RNA is filed under the name uncultured bacterium. RNAcentral describes it as "bacterial SSU rRNA". It matches the Rfam family "Bacterial small subunit ribosomal RNA", at positions 521 to 896 of the family's 1533-position model. The record is from RNAcentral.